This 361-nucleotide unclassified non-coding RNA is filed under the name fungal sp. RNAcentral describes it as "partial internal transcribed spacer region". The record is from RNAcentral. Lineage: Eukaryota; Fungi.
AAGUCGUAACAAGGUUUCCGUUCAUUAACACGUAUCCAAACGUUAAACAACCCCGUGAACAUACAACCUGCUCUGGUCGCCCGCUCGCAUGGACAAGCCCAGUAAAUCAAGCCCCGGAAAGUUUUUGAUUUGGGACCUCUGUGCGUGAGAAAAACUGACAGCGAUUCAUAGAAGCGGUAGGUCAAGUGACACGGCGUCCCCAAGUGACCAGUGAAUGAAAGUGUCGCUGGAGCGUCAAGGACGACUCUUCAAGAUUGCUAGAGGUCGACCACCGACCGGCUUCCGUGUAUACUGAGCUUAACAUCGCUCCCUUCUUUAUUGCCUUGCCUGUAAGCAUCCGAUCAACUAUAUCUUGGUUCUC